CGAGUGCGGCGGCGGCCGAUGUGGCGGAGAGGAGGAGGAGGCGGGGGAGGGGAAGGAGAAGGAGGAGGACUGGUGGAGGAGGAGUUGCUGUUGUCGCCGUCGCUGCCGACAUUGUGCGAUUUGGCCUUGGUGGCGGUGUUGAUCGCCAUGCAAGAGGAUGAGUAAUGGGAAGGAAAGUAUCUUUGGGAGGAGGAGGAAGCUUUUGGGACGGAGGAGGAGGAGGAAGAGGAGCUUUACUUUAAUUUUUUAAACAGCACAGUGUGGCGUUUUGUGCGGUG
RNAcentral lists this long non-coding RNA (278 nucleotides) under Linum usitatissimum (flax). Its description in RNAcentral is "long non-coding RNA (LUSI_LNC000780)". Lineage: Eukaryota; Viridiplantae; Streptophyta; Magnoliopsida; Malpighiales; Linaceae. The record is from RNAcentral.